This 3047-nucleotide long non-coding RNA is filed under the name Sus scrofa (pig). Its description in RNAcentral is "lncRNA (ENSSSCG00050076631.1)". Lineage: Eukaryota; Metazoa; Chordata; Mammalia; Artiodactyla; Suidae. The record is from RNAcentral.
CUUUUUUUUUUUUUUUUUUUUUUUUUUUGUCUUUUCUAGGGCAGCACCGGCAGCAUAUGGAGGUUCCCAGGCUAAGGGUCUAAUCAGAGCUAUAGCUGCCAGCCUACACCAGAGCCACAGCAAUGCCAGAUCUGAGCCAUGUCUGCAACCCACACCACAGCUCAUGGCAACACUGGAUCCUUAACCCACUGAGUGAGGCCAGGGAUCGAAACCCCAACGUCAUGGUUCCUAAUCAGAUUCAUUUCCUCUGAGCCAUGAUGGGAACUCCUAAAAUAUCUUGAUUAGUACCUGAUCAUUACUCGGGGCAGACUCAAUUAUGUACAGUGCCUGUGGCGCAGGAUACAUUUUUAGGAGCUCACAAAAAUAUUCUUAUUUAUUUUAAAACCAAAUGAAAGAAAUGUAGUCCAGUGUGGACUGUAAUUGUCUUAAUACCAAUGUAGGGAUAACAGAAUUUUUAAUAGUUUUUAUGGAGGAAAGAGUUCAUGAAGCAAAAGUGCUUAGGGUCCAUGAAAAUCACAGUGUGGUCCAGCAAGUGUAUUUCUUAAAAAACAGCCAAAAUGAAAAUCAGGCUACAUAGAAGUAACACUUUGUCAGGACACAUAGAAGUAACACUUAGCAAAUGAACCACUCUGAAUUGUGGUUAAGUUCACUCAGGACAGAUGGCAUUAAGAUCUACUGCAAAGGGUGAAUUGUGUUGAAGUUGAAAAUGAUCAGCUACACAGUGGAAAAAAAAUUCACUUCACGGGGAGAAGAUAUUAAAGUCAUAUCUCAACCUAGCAACAAGAUAAAGGCAAUAAUGGACUUAGGAUUUGGCAGAUGUCCUCUGAUUGUGUUUUUGGUGCCCUGAGCUAUUCUCCUGCAGAUCAUUUAGCCUUUGCAUUUAACAAUAGCAUGUUAAAGUCAGAAUUUGAUAUGUAAUUCUACCAGCCAACAAUAGAAAGACUGGCCACAUGAAAGGAGGGAAUGAGAACUUUUUCAAAUUGUGCAGUAUUCUCUGUCAAGUACAUUUUAUUUUAUUUUAUUUUAUUUUUUGUUUUAUUUCAAUCCUUCAACCAAACCGUUUUAAGCCAAAAGGGAAGUUAUUGAAUCAUGCAACUCAAAAGACCAAGGCUAGUCUGUUGGCAGGCAUGGCUUGUUCAAGCUUUAAACAAAGUGGCCAGGAUCUAACUUCUCUCCAUCUCUCAGCUUGGCUUAUAUGUCCUCUGCGAGUUUCUCUCUUUCUCAGCCUACAUGAGAUGGCAAGAUAGGGACAAAAGUUUCAAAUGCAGAGGAAGAGAAAGAUUUUUUCCAUCAUUUCUAUAAAAUUCCUAGGAUUCAUCAUGUGGACCAGCUUGGAUGACAUGCUCCUUUUGGUCUCUGUGCCCUGUGCUACUGUUUGAGUCCUGGGUUAUAAAUUCCGCCCAGGGUAAGACUGAGGGAGAAAAAGAUUCCUUAGUGAAAAGUCAGGGUAAGUAAAAGCUAUCAACAAAACCACAACCUGAAAGAGAAUGGAUGUGUGUACAUGUAUAACAAUCAUUUUUGGAUGGCAGAAAUGAUCAGAACCUUGUAAAUCAACUAUACUUCAAUAAAACUUUGAAAAAGGAAAAUCAAAUCAAAACAAAACAAAACCACAACACUUGGAAGUCUGUGUGUGCCCCCAGGAAGACUGGAUAUAUAAGGCAUGGUCUCUCUUUGUAUUAGGGAAUCCAGCUCUGAAAUCAGAGUGCUUGGAUCCCUUCCUUGGGCAAGGGUUUUAACCAUUCUGUUCCCUAGUUUCCUCAUUGUGAAGUCAGAACAAUAACAGCAUUUUCCUCACACUGAAAUACAUGAGUCCAAAAAAAUACUAGGGAUAUAAUCAACAUUUAAUAAAAGCUAAAUUAGAUUGCUGCUAUGUUUAACUCUGAGGCACAGCAUGAAAUUUGCAAACCACCACUAUAAUUAUUAAAAUAUAUGAAAAUGUUCUAUAAUCAUAACAACAUAAACAUUAUUAUUGUUACACUCCGAAAGAGAUGAUUCUUUCAUAAAUAAAUUGUGAGGCAGACAUAGAGAAUAGACUUAUGGUUGCCAAGGGGGAGUGGCAAGGGAGUGGGAUGGACCAGGGAUUUGGAGUUAGUAGAUGCAAACUAUUACAUGUAGCAUGGAUAAUCAAUGAGGUUCUACUCUAUAACACAGGGAACUAUAUUCAAUCUCUUGGGAUAGACUAUGAUGGGGGAUAAUAUAAGAAAAGUAUUUAUGACUGGGUCAUUUUACUGUAGAGCCGAAAUUGUCACAACAUUGUAAAUGAAGUAUAUUUUAAUAAAAAAUAAAUAUUAAAGUAAAUAAAUAGAGGAAAAAGAGAUGGGGGAAAACCAUUUUUAAAACUUAGGCAGGAAGUUCCCAUCGUGGUGCAGCAAAAGUGAAUGCAACUAGGAACCAUGAAGUUGUGGGUUCCAUCCCUGGCCUCGCUCAUGGGUUAAGGAUCCGGCAUUGCUGUGAGCUGUGGUGUAGUUGGCAGACUUGGCUCAGAUCCCUUGUUGCUGUGGCUCUGGUAUAGUCUGGCAGCUAUAGCUCCAAUUCUACCCCUAGCCUGAGAACUUCCAUAUGCUGGGGGUGUGGCCCUAAAAAGACCAAAAAAAAAAAGGUGGGUAGCAAAAUAUGCUUUUUUUUUCAAAUGAACUCUGCUACAGAAGUUCGGUAUCUGAAACAGAUAUAAGCACAGCUACACAGUUUGAAAGGAAAGAUUAAAAGACAGCAGUGACUCUUCCCCCACCAGAGAGGUAUGCAGUGAGGAUGGAGUUAAUUAUCCCCUUUGAGGUCUCCAAGUUCCUGGUAACACCGGAUAAAAGCCAGUGAACUUCAUGAUGAUUAUGAUGAUGACAAUGAUGAUAAUAUUACAAAUAGUUUAUGGAGUAUUUACUAUUAUUGGGCACCAUUAGGAACACUGUGCACAUGGUGUACAUUCAUACCAUCUCCUCACUAACCUAGGAGGGAGAUGGGAUUUUCAUACCCAUGCUAUAGAUGAACAAACUGAGGCCUAGAGAGAUUCUCUGUCCAGUAUCACAUAGCUGGCAGUGCACAGGGCCAUGGAA